UGUAGCAAGGUUAACCGAAUAGGGGAGCCGGAGGGAAACCGAGUCUUAACCGGGCGUUAAGUUGCAGGGUAUAGACCCGAAACCCGGUGAUCUAGCCAUGGGCAGGUUGAAGGUUGGGUAACACUAACUGGAGGACCGAACCGACUAAUGUUGAAAAAUUAGCGGAUGACCUGUGGCUGGGGGUGAAAGGCCAAUCAAACCGGGAGAUAGCUGGUUCUCCCCGAAAGCUAUUUAGGUAGCGCCUCGUGAAUUCAUCUCCGGGGGUAGAGCACUGUUUCGGCUAGGGGGCCAUCCCGGCUUACCAACCCGAUGCAAACUGCGAAUACCGGAGAAUGUUAUCACGGGAGACACACGGCGGGUGCUAACGUCCGUCGUGAAGAGGGAAACAACCCAGACCGCCAGCUAAGGUCCCAAAGUCAUGGUUAAGUGGGAAACGAUGUGGGAAGGCCCAGACAGCCAGGAUGUUGGCUUAGAAGCAGCCAUCAUUUAAAGAAAGCGUAAUAGCUCACUGGUCGAGUCGGCCUGCGCGGAAGAUGUAACGGGGCUAAACCAUGCACCGAAGCUGCGGCAGCGACGCUGAUGCGUUGUUGGGUAGGGGAGCG
RNAcentral lists this ribosomal RNA (602 nucleotides) under Salmonella enterica. RNAcentral describes it as "partial 23S ribosomal RNA". It matches the Rfam family "Bacterial large subunit ribosomal RNA", at positions 636 to 1238 of the family's 2925-position model. The record is from RNAcentral. Lineage: Bacteria; Pseudomonadati; Pseudomonadota; Gammaproteobacteria; Enterobacterales; Enterobacteriaceae.